This 595-nucleotide long non-coding RNA is filed under the name Cyanistes caeruleus (blue tit). RNAcentral's name for it is "lncRNA (ENSCCEG00000012739.1)". Lineage: Eukaryota; Metazoa; Chordata; Aves; Passeriformes; Paridae. The record is from RNAcentral.
GCCAAACAUUGUUUUCAAAUACAGUUGGCUUGAAAAUGAGCACUUGAAGCUGCAAGCUUGUCGGCAAACUACCAUGAUUUUCAGCUUUUGAGGAACGAGCUGCACUCCAGUCUUUUCUGUGAGCUGUUGUUGGAGGUGGCUGAUGUAUUGAUCCCCAAACAGAGAAUGAGGACAGAAUUUGCAACUGCAGAGCCCAGAGAAGAAGUGAGAGCAAAGGGAACCAGGACCAGAACCAUGCUGGGGAUUGGUACAAAAAGAGUGAAGAAUGCUGUGUCCAAUGAGGCAGAGGAGAAAUACCUACAGAACAAGAAUUGUGCUGCAAGUACCUUUUGUGAAAUGGUCCAUGGGUUAUUUGAUCAUGUACAUUUUAGCUUUAUACCUCAACAGACACAUGUUGGUUUUUGACCUGGACCAAAAAUGAUUUUUUUCAAGGGAUGUAGCUCUCCUGGUGAAUUCUCAGAACCUGGGAUCUUUCCUCUGCAAUUCUCCUUCCCAGGUACUGACACAGCAUUAUUCUUUAUCAAAUCACAGCUAACACUUCCACAGUGAAAGAAAUAUAAUUGCAAACCAGCUGAAAAUUAAUGUUAUAGUCUUA